AGUCGAGCGACUCUUCGAGAGGAGCGGCGAACGGCUGCGUAACACGUUGGAACCUACCCCGUACUCAGGGAUAACAUCGAGAAAUCGAUGCUAAUACCGGAUGGUCUCGUAAGAGUAAAGCUUUUGCGGUACGGGAGGGGCCUGCGGCCUAUCAGCUUGUUGGUAAGGUAAAAGCUUACCAAGGCUAUGACGGGUAGCUGAUCUGAGAGGAUGAUCAGCCAGAAUGGGACUGAGACACGGCCCAUACUCC
This 250-nucleotide ribosomal RNA is filed under the name uncultured bacterium. Its description in RNAcentral is "partial 16S ribosomal RNA". It matches the Rfam family "Bacterial small subunit ribosomal RNA", at positions 60 to 339 of the family's 1533-position model. The record is from RNAcentral.